RNAcentral lists this ribosomal RNA (1377 nucleotides) under Triticum aestivum (bread wheat). Its description in RNAcentral is "partial small subunit ribosomal RNA". The record is from RNAcentral. Lineage: Eukaryota; Viridiplantae; Streptophyta; Magnoliopsida; Poales; Poaceae.
AUGGGGAUUGGGGAUGCAUCACCUAGUGAAAACCAGUCUGCACACAAGGAACAGAGGGAUGAGACCACGCCACUUCUCCCGGUCAAGGCGGAAGAGGAAGAUGGGAUCCAUGAGUUCAAUGGAGCGUCUUUCUCGGGUGCAGUUUUCAAUCUGUCGACAACCAUCGUGGGGGCUGGAAUUAUGGCCCUGCCAGCAAGUAUCAAGAUGCUAGGCAUUAUCCCUGGUAUUUUGAUGAUCAUCCUUGUGGCAUUGCUCACUGAGGCAUCAAUUGACAUGAUGGUCAGGUGCAGCCACCAGGCCAAGAUUACAUCCUAUGGCUGGCUCAUGGGUGACUCUUUUGGUCAAUGGGGGAGGAUUGCACUGCAAGCAUCUGUGGUCAUAAACAACGUUGGCGUCAUGAUUGUAUACAUGAUUAUCAUCGGUGAUGUGCUAUCGGGAACAUCUACAACUGGUGUUCAUCACCGGGGUAUCUUUGAGGGGUGGUUUGGGCCUCAUUUCUGGAAUUCUCGUCCAGUUGUUCUCCUUGCCACAACUAUUUUUGUGUUUGCUCCAUUGGUGAGCUUUAAGCGAUUGGAUUCAUUGAGAUACACAUCUGCUCUGUCAGUUGCUCUUGCUGUGGUUUUUGUUGUCAUCACUGCUGGAAUUGCUAUUCUCAGACUGAUAGAAGGGACCGCGGAGAUUCCCAAACUCUUCCCUGAGAUACAUGAACUCAAUUCCAUCUGGGAACUCUUUACAGCUGUGCCGGUUCUUGUCACUGCCUAUAUUUGCCACUACAAUGUUCACAGCAUCGAUAACGAACUGGAAGAUAGAAGUCAGACUAAGCCAAUUGUGCGAACUUCAUUGGCUCUCUGUUCAAGUGUUUAUGUUGCAACAAGCUUCUUUGCAUAUUUACUCUUCGGCGAGGGUACCCUCUCCGAUGUGCUCGCUAAUUUUGACUCUGACCUUCAUAUUCCAUUCAGCUCUGUCUUCAAUGAUAUAGUCAGAGUGAGCUAUGUAGUCCAUGUCAUGCUGGUCUUCCCUAUAGUCUUCUUUGCCCUUAGGCUCAACCUGGAUGGACUCCUCUUCCCCACCUCAAGGCACAUUUCUCAUGACAACCGAAGGUUUAUCAUUAUCACCGUCUCACUCCUCGCUGUGAUUUAUCUUGCUGCCAACUUCAUACCAAGCAUCUGGGAUGCGUUCCAGUUCACCGGUGCUACAGCUGCUGUCCUGAUUGGUUUCAUCUUUCCUGCCAUGAUCAUACUGAGGGAUUCUUAUGGGAUUGCAACCAAGCGCGACAAGGUUUUAGCUGUAACCAUGAUUGUGCUUGCUGUGCUCUCCAAUUCAGUGGCCCUGUACAGCGAUGCGAUGAGCAUCUUCUACAGGAAGGUGGAGGCCUAG